Molecule: ribosomal RNA, 433 nt
Filed under: uncultured bacterium
Lineage: Bacteria
Description: partial 16S ribosomal RNA
Rfam family: Bacterial small subunit ribosomal RNA
Source: RNAcentral
AACGAACGCUGGCGGCAUGCCUAACACAUCCAAGUCGAACGAGACCUUCGGGUCUAGUGGCGCACGGGUGCGUAACGCGUGGGAACCUGCCCUUAGGUUCGGAAUAACUCCCCGAAAGGGGUGCUAAUACCGGAUAAUGUCUUCGGACCAAAGAUUUAUCGCCUUUGGAUGGGCCCGCGUUGGAUUAGCUAGUUGGUAGGGUAAAAGCCUACCAAGGCGACGAUCCAUAGCUGGUCUGAGAGGAUGAUCAGCCACACUGGGACUGAGACACGGCCCAGACUCCUACGGGAGGCAGCAGUGGGGAAUAUUGGACAAUGGGCGAAAGCCUGAUCCAGCAAUGCCGCGUGAGUGAUGAAGGCCUUAGGGUUGUAAAGCUCUUUUACCCGGGAUGAUAAUGACAGUACCGGGAGAAUAAGCGCCGGCUAACUCCGUG